UCUUCGGCCCAUGGUACCACUCCAAUUCUUAGUACAACCUGUUGAACGUACAAAGCUGACUUGUCUGUAACAUUUGUUGAUUCAACCGUACGAUUAAGUAUCAUUCUUGGUGCAUUUCCUGGCAUUGGCAGAUUUACUAAAGGAUAACUGUAAUUGACAAAACGAUUCUAUUUUAAAUCGUGUACCUAUAAUGGAAGAAUACUAAAAUAUAUCAUUAAAUAAGAUACAACAGACCAGCAUAGUAAUAUAAUUGAUAUUGCCAAAGAGAUAACUGGGAUGGGAUGCGAAGAACAGAAUAGGCCAUGGGCAUAAUAAAGCCCUGCCACUCUAUCUGGCAAACUACGGGACAUUUCACCUCAAGUCUGUCCCAUCAACAUUCUCUUGUCUUAUAUUAAAGUAUCGACUUUUUGUGACCUGUUAACAAUUUAAAAAAAAAAAAGUCACAUAUAUUAUGAGCGAUUAAAAGGAGAUAUGAUCUAACUAAAUCUCACGAUAUUCCAUACAUAUGCACGUUCAGAUAACUGUUAGCAUCAUUGUUAACAUGACAUCUAACAACCGAAAAAAGGGAGAAAAAAGAUUUGAUAAAAAGGAAAAUAAGAAUAAAAUAACAAGUGUACCACGUGUUUUUCUUCGGUUAUCAAAAACAUUACGCAAUUGAAAUAUCGUCGAGCGCGUAUUUUCGGUAUAGCCAAUUCGGUAUAGCAUAUUAUACUCUUAAAAAUAUACGUCUUGCUCAUUUUCAAUCGUCGAAUCAGUAUCUGGACUCAACGCAUCAUCAUACAGCAAAUGAUGCAACACGCGCAAAAAAAGAGAAAGAGAGAGAGAGAGAGAGAGAGGAGGGGCGGCGCGUGGGGGAGAGCAGAUAAACAAAGUAAGAGAAAUGAAAAACAAGCGAUCUUGUAACAAGUGAUACAUCAAUGUGCUAUCCAUGGGACACGUUGCUCCUUUCCAUUUGUUUUGCCGUUCAAGUUAUUUAUAAUAAAUCAUGGCCUGAGCAGAAAAAAAAAAAAUUGUUAGAUUGAACUACGAUCGACGAUAAGAUCCAUGAAAAAAUAGGAAGAACAAAUCGAGUCAUAGAAGUUUGUCGUUAGUAAAUAUUCUUCGAUCAAA
Vespa velutina is the source of this 1110-nucleotide long non-coding RNA. RefSeq lists it as uncharacterized. Lineage: Eukaryota; Metazoa; Arthropoda; Insecta; Hymenoptera; Vespidae. The transcript is spliced from 2 exons. The record is from RefSeq and is a predicted model, not a curated record.